GGGGAUGUAGCUCAGUUGGCUAGAGCGCUUGACUGGCAGUCAAGAGGUCGUGGGUUCGACUCCCAUCUUCUCCACCA
RNAcentral lists this transfer RNA (77 nucleotides) under Flavobacteriaceae bacterium. RNAcentral describes it as "tRNA-Ala". It matches the Rfam family "tRNA". Rfam says of the family: Transfer RNA (tRNA) molecules are approximately 80 nucleotides in length. Their secondary structure includes four short double-helical elements and three loops (D, anti-codon, and T loops). RNAcentral also lists the same sequence under 1 other name. The record is from RNAcentral. Lineage: Bacteria; Pseudomonadati; Bacteroidota; Flavobacteriia; Flavobacteriales; Flavobacteriaceae.